GGUAUUUUGUAUACAUUUCUUCGCAUAAAAAUUUUAAAAUACAGGUGUUUAAAACAGAGAUCUUAAACAGGGCGUUUAAAACAGAGAUCUUAAACAGGAUGUUUAAAAUAGAGAUCUUAAACAGGAUGUUUAAAAUAGAGAUAUUAAACAGAAUGUUUAAAACAGAGAUCUUAAACAGGAUGUUUAAAACAGAGAUCUUAAACA
Molecule: long non-coding RNA, 204 nt
Organism: Eurytemora carolleeae
Lineage: Eukaryota; Metazoa; Arthropoda; Copepoda; Calanoida; Temoridae
Exons: 2
Source: RefSeq, a predicted model, not a curated record